CCCGUUGAUGCGCGCGGUCGUGGGGCGGGAGGGGAGGGUCCCCUAAGGGACCGAGCGGGCUCCUAGCGCCCUCUAGUGGCCUAGAAGAGCACACGCACCCCGCAAUCUUCGGCCGCGCGCCCAGGCCUCCUCCCAGCCAGUGGCCCACCGGAGGCUCACCUUCCCAGGGUCACCUGGGCGAUGUGUCCAGGGUCACAAAGCGAGCGAUGGCAGCGACCAGUGGGGAAUGCCAGCCUGUCGUCCAGCCUGCACGCCACCGCCCAUUGGUAAGGGUGCCUGGGUAUCCGGCUGUUUCUGCCUGUUGCUCCCAUCUCGACCACAGAAACCCAAGGCCAUGAAGUCAGCAAAGCAGGAAAAACACGGAGAAUAAGGCAUCUUGACCGGGGGCAGAGGACCGAGGCGGCCAGAGCUGACAUCAUGGUCAGGAGACGCCUAGUCUCAGCAGAACCGCCAACUUCAUGCGGCAUCAGCCCGCAGCCUCAGGGCCCCAGCCCCUUUAUUUUAAUUUUUUGUUUGUUUUGGCUGCGCUAGAAGCACGUGGAAGUUCCCGGGCCAGGGAUCGAACCCGUGCCACAGCAGUGACCUGAACAUGGUGCUGUCAAUGCUGGAUUCUUAACUUGCUGAGCCACCAGGCAACUCCCCAGCCCCAUGAAUCCUCCUGUUUUCUCCCCAGAAAACAAGACGGUCGUUUUCGGGACGUUAGUCUGAUUCGCUCUUCAUUCGCUGACACAUUGGACACUUCGUUUCGUUUCCUCAAAACCCUGCCUCUUUAUUCUCAUCCAGCCUGGGGGACAGGUACCGAAUUUCCAGUAUCAAAACCACUUGUCUUCACCUGCAGGAACUACUUCCUUCUCUGAAAAUGUUAUCCUCAGUGAUUUCGAACGUUCUGGGAGUUGGAACCUAUCCCGCUGCCGUGAACUCCAGCGUGAAACCACACAUACGCAGCAAGAGCUGAAGUUUUGACAAACGGAGAGGUUCCUAUGAGUCAAAUAAAGUUAGUGAGAAUAGAAACUAACGAGUUGGU
Molecule: long non-coding RNA, 1024 nt
Filed under: Sus scrofa (pig)
Lineage: Eukaryota; Metazoa; Chordata; Mammalia; Artiodactyla; Suidae
Description: lncRNA (ENSSSCG00035056151.1)
Source: RNAcentral